Molecule: long non-coding RNA, 371 nt
Filed under: Rattus norvegicus (Norway rat)
Lineage: Eukaryota; Metazoa; Chordata; Mammalia; Rodentia; Muridae
Description: long non-coding RNA NONRATT013343
Source: RNAcentral
AACAAGAAUUUAUCAUCCAAAUAUUAACAGUAAUGGCAGCAUUUGUCUUGAUAUUCUACGGUCACAGUGGUCUCCAGCACUAACUAUUUCAAAAGUACUUUUGUCCAUCUGUUCUCUGUUGUGUGAUCCCAAUCCAGAUGAUCCUUUAGUGCCUGAGAUUGCUCGGAUCUACAAAACAGAUAGAGAAAAUACACUGUAGCUGUCUUCAGACACACCAGAAGAGGGCAUCAGAUCUUACUACAGAUGGUUGUGAGUCACCAUGUGGUUGCUGGGAAUUGAACUCAGAACCUCUGGAAGAGCAGCCAGUGCUCUUAACCCCUGAGCCAUCUCUCCAGCACCUCAUUUUUUAAAAAAUAAAAUUUAUUGCCUAG